This 500-nucleotide ribosomal RNA is filed under the name uncultured bacterium. RNAcentral's name for it is "partial 16S ribosomal RNA". It matches the Rfam family "Bacterial small subunit ribosomal RNA", at positions 30 to 523 of the family's 1533-position model. The record is from RNAcentral.
AUUGAACGCUGGCGGAAUGCUUUACACAUGCAAGUCGAACGGCAGCACGGGGGCAACCCUGGUAGCGAGUGGCGAACGGGUGAGUAAUACAUCGGAACGUGCCCAGUCGUGGGGGAUAACGUAGCGAAAGUUACGCUAAUACCGCAUACGAUCUACGAAUGAAAGCGGGGGACCGUAAGGCCUCGCGCGAUUGGAGCGGCCGAUGUCAGAUUAGGUAGUUGGUGAGGUAAAGGCUCACCAAGCCGACGAUCUGUAGCUGGUCUGAGAGGACGACCAGCCACACUGGGACUGAGACACGGCCCAGACUCCUACGGGAGGCAGCAGUGGGGAAUUUUGGACAAUGGGCGCAAGCCUGAUCCAGCCAUUCCGCGUGCAGGACGAAGGCCUUCGGGUUGUAAACUGCUUUUGUACGGAGCGAAAAGGCUCUGGUUAAUACCUGGGGCUCAUGACAGUACCGUAAGAAUAAGCACCGGCUAACUACGUGCCAGCCGCCGCAGUAA